RNAcentral lists this ribosomal RNA (436 nucleotides) under Andinobates claudiae. RNAcentral describes it as "partial 16S ribosomal RNA". It matches the Rfam family "Bacterial large subunit ribosomal RNA", at positions 1909 to 2551 of the family's 2925-position model. Lineage: Eukaryota; Metazoa; Chordata; Amphibia; Anura; Dendrobatidae. The record is from RNAcentral.
AAAACGGAAUUAGAUUCAACGGCCGCGGUAUUCUAACCGUGCGAAGGUAGCGUAAUCACUUGNUCUUUAAUUGAGGAAUGAAUGGCCUCACGAGGCUACACUGUCUCCUUUUUCUAAUCAAUGAAACUGAUCUCCCCGUGAAGAAGCGGNAAAUCUAUAAGACGAGAAGACCCUAUGGAGCUUUAAACAACAGGAAUACUUGCUUCUGUAAAAUAAAUUUAGCACUUUAUCUCCUAGUUUUAGGUUGGGGUGACCACGGAGAAAAAAUAAACCUCCACGUUGAAAACGACUUUAUGCAUCAACACAUUGACUCCCAUUGACCCAAUAAUUUGAUCAACGAACCAAGUUACCCUAGGGAUANCAGCGCAAUCUACUUUAGAGCUNAUAUCGACAAGUAGGCCNNNNNNCUCGAUGUUGGAUCAGGGUGUAAGCUAUG